Molecule: ribosomal RNA, 253 nt
Filed under: uncultured bacterium
Lineage: Bacteria
Description: partial 16S ribosomal RNA
Rfam family: Bacterial small subunit ribosomal RNA
Source: RNAcentral
UACGGAGGGCGCGAGCGUUAAUCGGAAUUACUGGGCGUAAAGCGCGCGUAGGCUGUUGUGUAAGUUGGGGGUGAAAUCCCACGGCUCAACCGUGGAACAGCCCUUGAUACUGCGCGACUUGAAUCCGGGAGAGGGUGGCGGAAUUCCAGGUGUAGGAGUGAAAUCCGUAGAUAUCUGGAGGAACAUCAGUGGCGAAGGCGGCCACCUGGACCGGUAUUGACGCUGAGGCGCGAAAGCGUGGGGUGCAAACAGG